CCUACGGGAGGCAGCAGUGAGGAAUCUUGCGCAAUGGACGAAAGUCUGACGCAGCAACGCCGCGUGGGCGAUGAAGGUCUUUGGAUCGUAAAGCCCUUUUCUAGAGGAAGAGGAAGGACGGUACUCUAGGAAUAAGUCUCGGCUAACUACGUGCCAGCAGCCGCGGUAAAACGUAGGAGACAAGCGUUAUCCGGAUUUACUGGGCGUAAAGGGCGUGUAGGCGGUAACCUAAGUUGGACGUGAAAUCUCCCGGCCUAACUGGGAGGGGUCGUCCAAUACUGGGUAUACUUGAGGGCAGGAGAGGGAAGUGGAAUUCCCGGUGUAGCGGUGGAAUGCGUAGAUAUCGGGAGGAACACCAGUGGCGAAGGCGGCUUCCUGGUCUGUUUCUGACGCUGAGGCGCGAAAGCUAGGGUAGCAAACAGGAUUAGAUACCCUAGUAGUCC
This 443-nucleotide ribosomal RNA is filed under the name uncultured bacterium. RNAcentral describes it as "bacterial SSU rRNA". It matches the Rfam family "Bacterial small subunit ribosomal RNA", at positions 338 to 796 of the family's 1533-position model. The record is from RNAcentral.